AGAGUUCGAUUCUGGCUCAGAACGAACGCUGGCGGCAGGCUUAACACAUGCAAGUCGAACGGAAUAUGAUGUGCUUGCACAUUAUAUCAGUGGCGCACGGGUGAGUAACGCGUAGGAAUCUGUCUAUUGGACAGGGAUAGCCUCUGGAAACGGAGGGUAAAACCUGGUAAGACCUGAGGGUGAGACGAGCGAUCGGCCGAUAGAGGAGCCUGCGUUAGAUUAGGCAGUUGGUGGGGUAACGGCCUACCAAACCGACGAUCUAUAGCUGGUCUGAGAGGAUGAUCAGCCACAUUGGGACUGAGACACGGCCCAA
RNAcentral lists this ribosomal RNA (313 nucleotides) under uncultured bacterium. RNAcentral's name for it is "bacterial SSU rRNA". It matches the Rfam family "Bacterial small subunit ribosomal RNA", at positions 8 to 334 of the family's 1533-position model. The record is from RNAcentral.